AUUCCCAAGCAAACAUGUAUGAAAACAGUUGUAUUUAGGAUGCUAGAAAAUAUUUCAACUCCGACAUCCAGUCAACAUUUAAUUCAAUGGCAAGUGAAAAAUAAAAAUUUUCAUAUAUUAAUGUCAUGCAUAGUGAAAUAAAAAUCUACAAGUGAGCAUUUUCCUUAGGUAGGUUUACUAUAGCUCUUAGGCUUACUCUCUCAGACAUCAUCACCUACUCGUGGGAACUGCCCACACCACAAGAUGAAUCGGGGCUUCAGGUCCCCUUUUUUACCUACUCGUGGGAACUGCCCACGCCACCAGAUAAAUCGAGGCUUCAAGUCUCCCUUUACCUACCGUAGGAGCUACCCACGUCACCAAAUAUAAAUCGAGGCUUCAGGUCUCCCUUUUUACAAACAAAUAUCGAUAUUCGAAACUUUUUACUUUGUGCACAAAGACCACACUUGACCUAGUGUGGUAACAGGUCCUACCCAGAGUAUCUCGAUCACGUUAAAAUAAAUUUAUUGCAAUUUAAUACAUUAGCAAAACAUCAUAGUUUGUAAACAAUAUAAUUAUAAAUCAAUGUUGUACAUAUUCUAUCUCAAAACAUGAUACAUUUACCAAAUCAGCAUGCUAAUUGAAAUAAAUAAUUUAUCAUCAACUUCUAUGAAUCAAACAAAGGCCAUUGGCCUAAAUAUCUCACAAACUUGCAAGGUAUGAUUUUGAAGUGAAAGCCAGUC
RNAcentral lists this long non-coding RNA (719 nucleotides) under Theobroma cacao (cacao). RNAcentral's name for it is "long non-coding RNA (TCAC_LNC004458)". Lineage: Eukaryota; Viridiplantae; Streptophyta; Magnoliopsida; Malvales; Malvaceae. The record is from RNAcentral.